Small nucleolar RNA from Hippopotamus amphibius kiboko, 75 nucleotides. RefSeq annotates it as small nucleolar RNA SNORD113/SNORD114 family. NCBI's taxonomy places the organism in Eukaryota, Metazoa, Chordata, Mammalia, Artiodactyla, Hippopotamidae. The transcript has a single exon. The record is from RefSeq and is a predicted model, not a curated record.
UGGGCCUUUGCUGAUGACCAGUGGUGUCUGAGUCAAGGGCGAUGAAUAAUGUGUGUCCGGACAUCUGAAGUCCAC